AUUGAACGCUGGCGGCAUGCCUUACACAUGCAAGUCGAACGGCAGCGGGGGAGAAGCUUGCUUUUCCUGCCGGCGAGUGGCGAACGGGUGAGUAAUACAUCGGAACGUGCCCUGUAGUGGGGGAUAACUAGUCGAAAGAUUAGCUAAUACCGCAUACGACCUGAGGGUGAAAGUGGGGGACCGCAAGGCCUCAUGCUAUAGGAGCGGCCGAUGUCUGAUUAGCUAGUUGGUGGGGUAAAGGCCUACCAAGGCGACGAUCAGUAGCUGGUCUGAGAGCACAUACGGCCAGACUGGGACUGAGUCACGGCCCAGACUCCUACGGGAGGCAGCAGUGGGGAGUUUUGGACAAUGGCCGAAAGCCUGAUCCAGCAAUGCCGCGUGUGUGAAGAAGGCCUACGGGUUAUAAAGCACUUUUGUCCGGAAAGAAAUGGCGCUGGUUAAUACCUGAGGUCGAUGACGGUACCGGAAGAAGAAAGACCGGCUAACUACGUGCCAGCCGCCGCGGUAA
RNAcentral lists this ribosomal RNA (508 nucleotides) under uncultured bacterium. Its description in RNAcentral is "partial 16S ribosomal RNA". It matches the Rfam family "Bacterial small subunit ribosomal RNA", at positions 30 to 523 of the family's 1533-position model. The record is from RNAcentral.